UAGCAAACUUCUGAAGGUUUAGGAAGCUGAGCUAUGGGAAUCUGGUUUCUUUUCCGGUCAGAACAAAUAAACACGCAAACACACAUCGAACUCACAAAGUGUUAGAAGAGAUAAACCAAUGCUCUUUGCAAAGGAGGAAAACAAAAACUCAGCCUUGUGGGCAACAGAAGAAAAGUCACAUUGGCCAGGAAGCAGCACCCUAUGCUGGCAGAGGGAGAAAUCUGAGCUCCUGCGGCAUCGGGUGGUAUUCGCACACAGCCUCCCGUUUCAAGUUGCAUGUCUCCGGAGUCCCAGGGAAGGCCCCAGCCCGGCUCCCUUCUCAGAGCCCGGAGGACUGGUGAGAAGCCCCUGCACCACCCGCAGGACACGCAGAUCUGCUCAUCCGGUUCCCUCCUUCAUCCUGUUCAGCUGCUUCCAGCUCCUGAGAGAGAAUAACUGAGCGGCUCACAUAGGUGAGGACACUGAGGUUCAGAGGGACUAAGUGUGCCAGCAAGACGAUGAUCAACAUCUAGAGCCCAGGACUCCUGCCCCUAAAGCCAGACUCUUUCCCCUCAUAUAUAGACUCCUGAUCCUGCCUGUGGACUUUGAGCAUCUAUGAGCCAUGCUGUCAUGUGACUGCAAGAUUUCAAGGAAGGGAAAAGUAAUUUAUAUUCAAAAAAUAAAUUGUUAGGCUCUAUUAUGGGCUAAAUUGUGUCCCUCCAAAGUUCACAUAUCAAACCCGGUACCUCAGAAUGUGACUAUUUGGAGAUAGUACCUUUAAAAAGGUGAUUAAGUUAAGAGGAGGUUACUAGGGUAGGCCCUAAUCCAAUAUGACUGGCAUCUUUAUAAGAGGAGGAAAUUAAGAUACAAUACAGACCAAAGACCACGUGAGGAGACAUCAAGAAGGUGGCCAUCUGGGAGCCAAGGAGAGAGGCCUCAAAAGAACAACCUCGAUCUUGAACUUCCUUACAACACCUGUCAAUACCUUGAGCUUGAACAUCUAGUCUCCUAAACUUUGAGAAAAUACAUUUCUGCUGUUUAAGCUACCUGGUCUAUGGUACUUUGUUAGGGCAGCCUGGGGCUGCCAUAGCAAGC
This is a long non-coding RNA of Hippopotamus amphibius kiboko, 1074 nucleotides long. RefSeq lists it as uncharacterized. The record is from RefSeq and is a predicted model, not a curated record. The transcript is spliced from 3 exons. Lineage: Eukaryota; Metazoa; Chordata; Mammalia; Artiodactyla; Hippopotamidae.